Molecule: small nucleolar RNA, 138 nt
Organism: Oryctolagus cuniculus (rabbit)
Lineage: Eukaryota; Metazoa; Chordata; Mammalia; Lagomorpha; Leporidae
Source: Ensembl
UUUAUUGUCGGUGCCUGGCUGGAGCAUUGUGCGGCUCUGUUGGGUGUUCAAAGGACAGUGAGACAGAAUUCAGUUCCUGGCAUCUUUGGAUUUCAUGGCUUUGUUCCCUGCUAAACUUGGUAUCUCUAUUGACAAGAA